RNAcentral lists this ribosomal RNA (716 nucleotides) under Zephyranthes phycelloides. RNAcentral describes it as "eukaryotic LSU rRNA". The stretch from base 275 to 430 matches the Rfam family "5.8S ribosomal RNA". The record is from RNAcentral. Lineage: Eukaryota; Viridiplantae; Streptophyta; Magnoliopsida; Asparagales; Amaryllidaceae.
UUCCGUGGGUGACCUGCGGAAGGAUCAUUGUAGAGGCCCGAAAGGACAAUCGCGAACUCGUAGAGCAACCGUAGUGGGCGGUAGGGGGGUGCAACCGCCGCUGCCUUCCCUGUUGGGUGCCCCAGCCGUCGCUGCCCCGCACGCCCUGCGGGAGGAGAGACGGGAACAAUCUUCGGUGCCUUGCGCGCCAAGGAGCAGCCCCGUUGGAGAGCGUAGCGUGCGGCAAGCUUAGCGCUGCUGCACGCGAGGCGAUCCUGGUACGUCUAACCUGCAUGACUCUCGGCAACGGAUAUCUUGGCUCUCGCAUCGAUGAAGAACGUAGCGAAAUGCGAUACUUGGUGUGAAUUGCAGAAUCCCGUGAACCAUCGAGUCUUUGAACGCAAGUUGCGCCCGAGGCUAUCUGGCCAAGGGCACGCCUGCCUGGGCGUCACGCCUACCGACGCUCCUUGCAUACUGCCCGUCCCACUGCUACGCGUGGCUCCAGGAAAGGAUGCGGAGAUUGGCCCCCCGCGCAUCGCUGCGUGGCGGGUUGAAGUGCGGGCCGCUGUCGGGUCGGAUGCGGCGACUGGUGGAAUGACACGCACGCCGCCGUUGAUGUGACCGACUCGUGCGGCGCAUUGGUGAACCCACGUCGACGGGCGCCACAUGAGCGCUCCCUUGACCACGACCCCAGGUCAGGCGGGGACACCCGCUGAGUUUAAGCAUAUCAAUAAAGG